RNAcentral lists this ribosomal RNA (254 nucleotides) under uncultured bacterium. Its description in RNAcentral is "partial 16S ribosomal RNA". It matches the Rfam family "Bacterial small subunit ribosomal RNA", at positions 524 to 776 of the family's 1533-position model. The record is from RNAcentral.
UACGGAGGGGGCGAGCGUUUAUUCGGAAUUAUUGGGCGUAAAGGGCGCGUAGGCGGCUGUACAAGUCAAAGGUGAAAUCCCUCGGCUCAACUGAGGAACUGCCUUUGAAACUGUACGGCUUGAGGCCGGGAGGGGGUAGCGGAAUUCCCAAUGUAGCGGUGAAAUGCGUAGAUAUUGGGAGGAACACCAGUGGCGAAGGCGGCUACCUGGACCGGUUCUGACGCUGAUGCGCGAAAGCGUGGGUAGCAAACAGG